GCCAAAACCAAUACACCACCGAGAUCAGUGUGUAUGCCCAACACUUAAUGCUGACAAUGAUGUCAAAGAAAAAUUCUAGUCCAACCUUGACUACAUACUGACUCUAUGGCAGUGCACCUUUGAGUGCUUACCAGUUUAAAGGCCUGAACAGGCUGUGAGGCAACCUGCAGAUGAUAGCACAGACAAUCAGGUGGUCACAUCACAGCCAGGAGGCCACCUGAUUGGAGCAGGGUGGAGCAGCCUCAGUAUAAGAUCAAGCCCUGAGGAGCAGAGCCAGCAACUGCUUCAGGGAUGCUGCUGAGUUAACAUUGCCCUGACUUCUGCUGCUCCUAGGAACA
This is a long non-coding RNA of Gavialis gangeticus (Gharial), 338 nucleotides long. RefSeq lists it as uncharacterized. The record is from RefSeq and is a predicted model, not a curated record. Lineage: Eukaryota; Metazoa; Chordata; Crocodylia; Gavialidae. The transcript has 3 exons.